UACGGAAGGCAGCAGUGGGGAAUAUUGCACAAUGGGCGAAAGCCUGAUGCAGCUAUGCCGCGUGUAUGAAGAAGGCCUUAGGGUUGUAAAGUACUUUCAUCGGGGAGGAAAAAACAAAACUAAUAAUUUUAUUUCUUGACGUUACCCGAAAAAGAAGCACCGGCUAACUCCGUGCCAGCAGCCGCGGUAAUACGGAGGGUGCUAGCGUUAAUCAGAAUUACUGGGCGUAAAGAGCACGUAGGUGGUUUUUUAAGUCAGAUGUGAAAUCCCUGGGCUUAACCUAGGAACUGCAUUUUGAAACUGAAAUACUAGAGUAUCGUAGAGGGAGGUAGAAUUCUAGGUGUAGCGGUGAAAUGCGUAGAUAUCUGGAGGAAUACCUGUGGCGAAAGCGGCCUCCUAAACGAAUACUGACACUGAGGUGCGAAAAGCGUGGGGAGCAAAACAGGGAUUAGAUACC
Molecule: ribosomal RNA, 457 nt
Filed under: uncultured bacterium
Lineage: Bacteria
Description: bacterial SSU rRNA
Rfam family: Bacterial small subunit ribosomal RNA
Source: RNAcentral